GUAAAUAUAGUUUAACAAAAACACUAGAUUGUGGAUCUAGAAACAGAAACUCAACAUUUCUUAUUUACC
This 69-nucleotide transfer RNA is filed under the name Equus grevyi (Grevy's zebra). RNAcentral describes it as "tRNA-His". It matches the Rfam family "tRNA". From Rfam's summary of the family: Transfer RNA (tRNA) molecules are approximately 80 nucleotides in length. Lineage: Eukaryota; Metazoa; Chordata; Mammalia; Perissodactyla; Equidae. The record is from RNAcentral. RNAcentral also lists the same sequence under 1 other name.